RNAcentral lists this ribosomal RNA (1160 nucleotides) under Sesame phyllody phytoplasma. RNAcentral describes it as "bacterial SSU rRNA". It matches the Rfam family "Bacterial small subunit ribosomal RNA", at positions 173 to 1354 of the family's 1533-position model. The record is from RNAcentral. Lineage: Bacteria; Bacillati; Mycoplasmatota; Mollicutes; Acholeplasmatales; Acholeplasmataceae.
CUUCUUGUUUUUAAAGACCUAGCAAUAGGUAUGCUUAGGGAGGAGCUUGCGUCACAUUAGUUAGUUGGUGGGGUAAAGGCCUACCAAGACUAUGAUGUGUAGCCGGGCUGAGAGGUUGAACGGCCACAUUGGGACUGAGACACGGCCCAAACUCCUACGGGAGGCAGCAGUAGGGAAUUUUCGGCAAUGGAGGAAACUCUGACCGAGCAACGCCGCGUGAACGAUGAAGUAUUUCGGUACGUAAAGUUCUUUUAUUAGGGAAGAAUAAAUGAUGGAAAAAUCAUUCUGACGGUACCUAAUGAAUAAGCCCCGGCUAACUAUGUGCCAGCAGCCGCGGUAAUACAUAGGGGGCAAGCGUUAUCCGGAAUUAUUGGGCGUAAAGGGUGCGUAGGCGGUUAAAUAAGUUUAUGGUCUAAGUGCAAUGCUCAACAUUGUGAUGCUAUAAAAACUGUUUAGCUAGAGUAAGAUAGAGGCAAGUGGAAUUCCAUGUGUAGUGGUAAAAUGCGUAAAUAUAUGGAGGAACACCAGUAGCGAAGGCGGCUUGCUGGGUCUUUACUGACGCUGAGGCACGAAAGCGUGGGGAGCAAACAGGAUUAGAUACCCUGGUAGUCCACGCCGUAAACGAUGAGUACUAAACGUUGGGUAAAACCAGUGUUGAAGUUAACACAUUAAGUACUCCGCCUGAGUAGUACGUACGCAAGUAUGAAACUUAAAGGAAUUGACGGGACUCCGCACAAGCGGUGGAUCAUGUUGUUUAAUUCGAAGGUACCCGAAAAACCUCACCAGGUCUUGACAUGCUUCUGCAAAGCUGUAGAAACACAGUGGAGGUUAUCAGUUGCACAGGUGGUGCAUGGUUGUCGUCAGCUCGUGUCGUGAGAUGUUGGGUUAAGUCCCGCAACGAGCGCAACCCUUAUUGUUAGUUACCAGCACGUAAUGGUGGGGACUUUAGAAGACUGCCAGUGAUAAAUUGGAGGAAGGUGGGGACGACGUCAAAUCAUCAUGCCCCUUAUGACCUGGGCUACAAACGUGAUACAAUGGCUGUUACAAAGGGUAGCUGAAGCGCAAGUUUUUGGCGAAUCUCAAAAAAACAGUCUCAGUUCGGAUUGAAGUCUGCAACUCGACUUCAUGAAGUUGGAAUCGCUAGUAAUCGCGAAUCAGCA